RNAcentral lists this unclassified non-coding RNA (395 nucleotides) under soil metagenome. RNAcentral's name for it is "partial contains 5.8S ribosomal RNA, internal transcribed spacer 2, and large subunit ribosomal RNA". The stretch from base 1 to 120 matches the Rfam family "5.8S ribosomal RNA", at positions 35 to 154 of the family's 154-position model. The record is from RNAcentral.
GAUGAAGAACGUAGCGAAAUGCGAUAAGUAAUGUGAAUUGCAGAAUUCAGUGAAUCAUCGAAUCUUUGAACGCACCUUGCGCCUUUUGGUAUUCCGAAAGGCACACCUGUUUGAGCGUCAUGAAUACCUCAAUCUCCAUCUUUUCUUCGGAUUGAUGGGUGACUUGGAUGUUGAGCCCUGCUGGUAUGCUAUAUCAGCUGGCUUUAAACUUAUUAGCCGGCUCUGUACUGGAUCGGUUUGACUCGACGUGAUAAUAUUAUCGUUGAGGAUGCAUGUCUCAUGCAGCCGGAAAGUAUCAAAGCAGCUUCUAGCUUGCCUUUAGUGCACUUUUACAUUUUAGACCUCAGAUCGGGUGGGACUACCCGCUGAACUUAAGCAUAUCAAUAAGCGGAGGA